UUCGCCCUUAGAGUUUGAUUCUGGCUCAGGACGAACGCUGGCGGUGCGCCUAACACAUGCAAGUCGAACGAGCGAGAGAGAGCUUGCUUUCUCGAGCGAGUGGCGAACGGGUGAGUAACGCGUGAGGAACCUGCCUCAAAGAGGGGGACAACAGUUGGAAACGACUGCUAAUACCGCAUAAGCCCACGACCCGGCAUCGGGUAGAGGGAAAAGGAGCAAUCCGCUUUGAGAUGGCCUCGCGUCCGAUUAGCUAGUUGGUGAGGUAAUGGCCCACCAAGGCGACGAUCGGUAGCCGGACUGAGAGGUUGAACGGCCACAUUGGGACUGAGACACGGCCCAGACUCCUACGGGAGGCAGCAGUGGGGAAUAUUGCACAAUGGGGGAAACCCUGAUGCAGCGACGCCGCGUGGAGGAAGAAGGUCUUCGGAUUGUAAACUCCUGUUGUUGAGGAAGAUAAUGACGGUACUCAACAAGGAAGUGACGGCUAACUACGUGCCAGCAGCCGCGGUAAAACGUAGGUCACAAGCGUUGUCCGGAAUUACUGGGUGUAAAGGGAGCGCAGGCGGGAAGACAAGUUGGAAGUGAAAUCCAUGGGCUCAACCCAUGAACUGCUUUCAAAACUGUUUUUCUUGAGUAGUGCAGAGGUAGGCGGAAUUCCCGGUGUAGCGGUGGAAUGCGUAGAUAUCGGGAGGAACACCAGUGGCGAAGGCGGCCUACUGGGCACCAACUGACGCUGAGGCUCGAAAGUGUGGGUAGCAAACAGGGAUUAGAUACCCUGGUAGUCCACACUGUAAACGAUGAUUACUAGGUGUUGGAGGAUUGACCCUUUCAGUGCCGCAGUUAACACAAUAAGUAAUCCACCUGGGGAGUACGACCGCAAGGUUGAAACUCAAAGGAAUUGACGGGGGCCCGCACAAGCAGUGGAGUAUGUGGUUUAAUUCGACGCAACGCGAAGAACCUUACCAAGUCUUGACAUCCUGCGACGCACAUAGAAAUAUGUGUUUCCUUCGGGACGCAGAGACAGGUGGUGCAUGGUUGUCGUCAGCCCGUGUCGUGAGAUGUUGGGUUAAGUCCCGCAACGAGCGCAACCCUUAUGGUCAGUUACUACGCAAGAGGACUCUGGCCAGACUGCCGUUGACAAAACGGAGGAAGGCGGGGAUGACGUCAAAUCAUCAUGCCCCUUAUGACUUGGGCUACACACGUGCUACAAUGGCGUAAACAAAGGGAAGCAGCCCUGUGAAGGUGAGCAAAUCCCAAAAAUAACGUCUCAGUUCGGAUUGUAGUCUGCAACUCGACUACAUGAAGCUGGAAUCGCUAGUAAUCGCGAAUCAGAAUGUCGCGGUGAAUACGUUCCCGGGUCUUGCACACACCGCCCGUCA
Molecule: ribosomal RNA, 1379 nt
Filed under: uncultured bacterium
Lineage: Bacteria
Description: 16S ribosomal RNA
Rfam family: Bacterial small subunit ribosomal RNA
Source: RNAcentral